AUACCGGAAAACUGCGAAUGGCUCGGUAAAUCAGUUAUAGUUUAUUUGAUAGUGCAGCUACUCGGAUAACCGUAGUAACACUAGAGCUAAUACGUGCGUAAAUCCCGACUCUUGGAAGGGACGUAUUUAUUAGAUUUAUGGCUAACCGGGCUUGCCCGACCAGCGGUGAAUCAUGGUAACUUGACGGAUUGCAUGGCCUUCGUGCCGGCGACGUGUCAUUCAAGUUUCUGCCCCAUCAGGUUUCGACUGUAGUGUAUUGGACUACAGUGCCUAUAACGGGUAGCGGAGGAUUAGGGUUCGAUUCCGGAGAGGGAGCCUGAGAAACGGCUACCACAUCCAAGGAAGGCAGCAGGCGCGCAAAUUACCCAAUCCCAAUUCAGGGAGGUAGUGACAAGAAAUAGCAAUGCGGAGCUUCGUGUUCUGCAAUUGGAAUGAGAACAAUUUAAACCACUUAACGAGUAUCAAUUGGAGGGCAAGUCUGGUGCCAGCAGCCGCGUAAUUCCAGCUCCAAUAGCGUAUAUGUAAGUUGUUGCGAUUAAAAAGCCCGUAGCUGAACCUCGGGUAGCCCUGACGGUCCGCCCAAGGUGAGUACUGUCGUGGGCUGCCUUKCUGCUGGGUGCCGUAUCCGGCGUUUACUCGCCGCGAACGGAGCCCAGCAAGGUKACUUUGAGUAAAAUAGAGUCUUCAAAGCAAGCAUGUGCUCUGAAUACACUAGCAUGGGAUAACACGACAUGACCGAUGGUCUAUCUUGUUGGCCUGUAGACCCGUUGGUAAUGGCUAAUAGGGACGGUCGGGGGCAUUCGUAUUUCGCUGUCAGAGGUGAAAUUCUUGGAUUUGCGAAAGACGAACUACUGCGAAAGCAUUUGCCAAGGACGCUUUCAUUAGUCAAGGACGAAAGUCGSGGGAUCGAAGACGAUUAGAUACCGUCGUAGUCUCGACCAUAAACGAUGCCAAUUAGGGAUUGGAGGGCGSAUAGAUAUGCCUCCUCCAGCACCUUCCGCGAAAGCAAAAUUUAUGGGCUUCGGGGGGAGUAUGGUCGCAAGGCUGAAACUUAAAGGAAUUGACGGAACGGCACCACCAGGCGUGGAGCUGCGGCUUAAUUUGACUCAACACGGGAAAACUUACCAGGUCCAGACAGAAGUAGGAUUUACAGAUUGAUAGCUCUUUAAAGAUUUUUUGGAUGGUGGUGCAUGGCCGUUCUUAGUUCGUGGAUUGAUUUGUCAGGUUGAUUCCGGUAACGGACGAGACCCCAACCUACUAACUAGCUCUGCUUGAAUCUCAGGCAGCCAGCUUCUUAGAGGGACUCUCGGAAUGAAACCGAAGGAGGUGGGGCAAUAACAGGUCUGUGAUGCCCUUAGAUGUCCUGGGCCGCACGCGCGCUACACUGAUGCAUUCAACGAGCCAACCCUGUGCCGAGAGGUACGGGUAAUCUGCGAAAGUGCNUCGUGANNNNNNNAGAUUAUUGCAAUUAUUGAUCUUCAACGAGGAAUGCCUAGUAAGCGCGAGUCAUCAACUCGCUUGAUUACGNCCCUGCCGUUUGUACACACNGNNCNUCGCUCCUACCGAUUGGGUGUGCUGGUGAAAUGUUCGGAUUGGAUGGCCUUCCGUCAGGGGCAGUUUGAGAAGUUCAUUGAACCCUCUCACCUAGAGGAAGGAGAAGUCGUAACAAGGUCUCCGUAGUGAACCUGCGGAGGGAUCCAUAGC
Molecule: ribosomal RNA, 1704 nt
Filed under: Cladophora socialis
Lineage: Eukaryota; Viridiplantae; Chlorophyta; Ulvophyceae; Cladophorales; Cladophoraceae
Description: SSU rRNA
Rfam family: Eukaryotic small subunit ribosomal RNA
Source: RNAcentral